RNAcentral lists this ribosomal RNA (460 nucleotides) under uncultured bacterium. RNAcentral describes it as "partial 16S ribosomal RNA". It matches the Rfam family "Bacterial small subunit ribosomal RNA", at positions 338 to 795 of the family's 1533-position model. The record is from RNAcentral.
CCUACGGGAGGCAGCAGUGAGGAAUAUUGGUCAAUGGGCGCGAGCCUGAACCAGCCAAGUAGCGUGAAGGAUGACUGCCCUACGGGUUGUAAACUUCUUUUAUAAAGGAAUAAAGUGAGGCACGUGUGCCUUUUUGUAUGUACUUUAUGAAUAAGGAUCGGCUAACUCCGUGCCAGCAGCCGCGGUAAUACGGAGGAUCCGAGCGUUAUCCGGAUUUAUUGGGUUUAAAGGGAGCGUAGAUGGGUUGUUAAGUCAGUUGUGAAAGUUUGCGGCUCAACCGUAAAAUUGCAGUUGAUACUGGCAGCCUUGAGUACAGUAGAGGUAGGCGGAAUUCGUGGUGUAGCGGUGAAAUGCUUAGAUAUCACGAAGAACUCCGAUGGCGAAGGCAGCUUACUGGACUGCAACUGACAUUGAGGCUCGAAAGUGUGGGUAUCAAACAGGAUUAGAUACCCGAGUAGUC